Molecule: non-coding RNA, 2277 nt
Organism: Ictalurus punctatus (channel catfish)
Lineage: Eukaryota; Metazoa; Chordata; Actinopteri; Siluriformes; Ictaluridae
Source: the annotation of a RefSeq genome assembly
CUGUGUCAGUGCUGCACACACUUUAAGAGCUGUAGUGCUGAUCAGAGUGUGUUCAGUCCUUUCAGAGCCACUGACACGCAGCACAAUGAUGAUGGUACUGAUUCUACUGCUGGGGACACUGGGACUCCUCGCUCACCAGUCCUUUGGGGAAAUCGUCCUGACUCAGUCUCCAGGAUCUCAGUCUGUUUCUCCAGGACAAUCUGUUACUCUCACCUGUACAUCCAGUCAGGGUGUUAGCAAUUACCUCCACUGGUACCUGCAGAAAUCUGGAGAAGCUCCUAAACUCCUGAUCUAUUAUGCAUCUAACCGUCAGUCUGGGAUUCCAGAUCGUUUCAGUGGCAGUGGAUCUGGUUCCCAAUAUAAUCUAAAAAUCUCUGGAGUUCAGUCUGAAGAUGCAGGAGAUUAUUACUGUCAGCUGGAAUAUGUCCCGUACACACAGUGUUAUAGCGCCGUACAAAAACCUCCCUCAGCUGUAGAGGAAGUGCUCUGACUCAGAAACACACACUGAUCUGAGAACAGCUGCAGAGCUGCUAAAGCUGCACUCCACUGAACAUCAUCAAACGUGCUGAUGUUUAAAACAUAAUCAUUCCUGAAAAGCAGAAAACUCUUCAUCAGCUGUUCCUUCUGUGAUGAAAAAUCAGCUGAUGUGUGUAAUGGUAUAUGAUGAUUUCCACCUUCUGCUAAGAGGAGCAGUGUCUACUCCACACUACUGUAACACACAAUGUAGUGCAGGAUCUUUCAAUAAGACUCAACAUUCAUUUCUAUAUUAUUCUCUAUUUCAAUAUUCAUUUUCUCAUCAUCUGUAAAGUUUAACCACCAAACAGUCUCCUUUUCUACACCAUAGAAAUAAAACUGAAUUGAAUUGAACACCUGAAACACACAUGACCCGAGUUCCUGCUGAAGGAAAAAUCACCACAAUAGAACAUAAAGCUUCAUUUGACUGAAGAUAAAUGUGAAGGCAGUUUGACGCAGGUCUACGUGAUGAUGUAAUGACUGUAUUUAUGGUGUCGUUUAAAACAUCUGUGCCUAGAAAGCUCUUGCUUCCUUUCCCCUGAUUAUAUUCUGAGCUAAAAGAGCAGACGAUCAGCUCCAGUCAGAGCACCUGGCUGAUAAAAGAUCAAUCUACUUAGGAAGAAAAUAAUGAAAAGCUUACGUCAUUGCAGAUCCAUAAAUCCAGCUGUACACUGCAGAGAGUCUGCAAAGUAGCCGAUCUGCUCCAUAAUCUUCAUCACCUGGAAAAGAGUUCUGUUCUAACCUGUAGACUAGAGAUCUAGGUCUGUAUCUUCAGGAGGUUCAGACUGUAGGAAAGGGGCUGAUGGGAGAAGUGCUUGGAUGUUCUACAAGGCUGUGGGUAACUUCCUGUCUCUAUCUAAACAAUCUAUGACUUUACUGGUUUGAAACAUAAAGGUUUUAUUUGUCAGAAGUUGCUUUAUAGUCCCGUGUGUUAAAUGCUGAAAUAAUGUAGCACAUCUGGAUCUGGUAAAUGAAUCAGAAUUGUUUAAAUCUUUAAUAAAAGACGAGGACACACACACUGGGCCUCAUUUAUCAAUCCUUUAGUAAAGUUGUGUGUGAAUGUUUGCACAGACCCGGGCGUCCUUCUUUUACACACUGCCGUUUCUUCUUAAUUGAGUGACGAGUCAUAUUUAUAUUCAUUUACAGAUUUGUGUUGACUUGCGCUCGUUAAUUAUUUUCUUCACGUUUAAAAUGUCUUUAAUUGAAGACAUGAAACAGCUGGUUUCACUAAAAUCUCAUUCCAUGUGUUUGUACAUUUGUACAUGUGUGACUGAAAUCAAUAAGAUCUAUAAACCUGACAGCAUCAUCUGUAUAUAAAAGUGCAGUAAUCCAUGACAAUUAUACGGACAUCAGCGAGGAGGUAAGGAAUAUUGUGCUGUUGUUGUGAUUGUUCAUUUCUGAAAGGUUUUGUUCCUAUAUUCUGACUGAAUUCUGGAGUUUAUUUUCAGGACUCCGCAGAAGAUUCUGCUAACAUCAGCAUCCUUCCUGAAGCACGUGGCUCUGAGAAGAUUGCACAUGUACAGUCGGCCAUGUUAGACGUUAGCAGUCCAAGAGGUUCCUGCCAGUAUCUGCUCUGAAGGUGAAGAGUGGAGGACCAGGACGACCCCACUAACAAAUCAAAAGCAGGUCAUUAACUUGGUGGAGGACUUUCAUUCCACUGGCCCACUCACGUCAGAAUUCAGUGGAGCUCAAUUCACAGCAGAGAUGGAAUCUGUUCUAGAUAAUAAUACACUGCUUUUGUCCUUUGAGUCUCGGAGCAUUGGG